UACGGAGGGAGCUAGCGUUGUUCGGAAUUACUGGGCGUAAAGCGCGCGUAGGCGGCUUUGUAAGUUAGAGGUGAAAGCCCGGGGCUCAACCCCGGAACUGCCUUUAAGACUGCAUCGCUUGAAUCCAGGAGAGGUGAGUGGAAUUCCGAGUGUAGAGGUGAAAUUCGUAGAUAUUCGGAAGAACACCAGUGGCGAAGGCGGCUCACUGGCUCAUUACUGACGCUCAGGCGCGAUAGCGUGGGGAUCAAACAGG
Molecule: ribosomal RNA, 253 nt
Filed under: uncultured bacterium
Lineage: Bacteria
Description: partial 16S ribosomal RNA
Rfam family: Bacterial small subunit ribosomal RNA
Source: RNAcentral